CCUACGGGUGGCAGCAGUGAGGAAUAUUGGUCAAUGGACGAGAGUCUGAACCAGCCAAGUAGCGUGAAGGAUGACUGCCCUAUGGGUUGUAAACUUCUUUUAUAUGGGAAUAAAAUGUUCCACGUGUGGGAUUUUGUAUGUACCCUAUGAAUAAGGAUCGGCUAACUCCGUGCCAGCAGCCGCGGUAAUACGGGGGAUCCGAGCGUUAUCCGGAUUUAUUGGGUUUAAAGGGAGCGUAGGUGGAUUGUUAAGUCAGUUGUGAAAGUUUGCGGCUCAACCGUAAAAUUGCAGUUGAAACUGGCAGUCUUGAGUACAGUAGAGGUGGGCGGAAUUCGUGGUGUAGCGGUGAAAUGCUUAGAUAUCACGAAGAACUCCGAUUGCGAAGGCAGUUCACUGGACUGCAACUGACACUGAGGCUCGAAAGUGUGGGUAUCAAACAGGAUUAGAUACCCCAGUAGUC
RNAcentral lists this ribosomal RNA (460 nucleotides) under uncultured bacterium. Its description in RNAcentral is "partial 16S ribosomal RNA". It matches the Rfam family "Bacterial small subunit ribosomal RNA", at positions 338 to 795 of the family's 1533-position model. The record is from RNAcentral.